RNAcentral lists this small RNA (28 nucleotides) under Bombyx mori (domestic silkworm). Its description in RNAcentral is "ovarian small RNA-5593". Lineage: Eukaryota; Metazoa; Arthropoda; Insecta; Lepidoptera; Bombycidae. The record is from RNAcentral.
UAAAGUCUCCAAGAACCACCACCUCCGC